AACCACUCCCAGCAGUGCAUCUACUUCCUCCUGCAGCUUCUGGUGCAGCAGAAGGGGAGGACCGCGGACCUCAAGCACAUGAACAGGAUACAGCAACUGGAAGGGAUCACCUCCAGGGCAUGGGAGGCGAAGCUCCACGACCUGAUGAAGGCCUUCGAGGAGAACCUGACGGUGGCCCAGCACACGCAGCUGGUCCUCACGCUCCUGCACAGCC
Lemur catta (Ring-tailed lemur) is the source of this 214-nucleotide long non-coding RNA. RefSeq lists it as uncharacterized. The transcript has 3 exons. The record is from RefSeq and is a predicted model, not a curated record. NCBI's taxonomy places the organism in Eukaryota, Metazoa, Chordata, Mammalia, Primates, Lemuridae.